RNAcentral lists this ribosomal RNA (348 nucleotides) under uncultured bacterium. Its description in RNAcentral is "bacterial SSU rRNA". It matches the Rfam family "Bacterial small subunit ribosomal RNA", at positions 143 to 507 of the family's 1533-position model. The record is from RNAcentral.
GUAACGGGUACGAAAGACUCGACUAACUACCGCAUAUAGAACGUAAAGUUAGAAAGGAGUAAUCCGUACUAAAGACCCCCUGACGCCCGCGUCCGAUUAGCUAGUUGGUAGAGUAAAAGCCUACCAAGGCGACGAUCGGUAGCUGGUCUGAGAGGAUGAUCAGCCACAAUGGGACUGAGACACGGCCCAUACUCCUACGGGAGGCAGCAGUGGGGAAUUUUACGCAAUGGGCGAAAGCCUGACGUAGCGACACCGCGUGAGCGAAGAAGCCCCUUGGGGUGUAAAGCUCUGUCAGCUGGAACGAAAAAAAUGACGGUACCAGCAGAGGAAGCAUCGGCUAACUACGUG